RNAcentral lists this small RNA (97 nucleotides) under Cloning vector pLGS1. RNAcentral's name for it is "LGS1-CR1 gRNA". The record is from RNAcentral.
GAGUAACCAAUAAGACUACGGUUUUAGAGCUAGAAAUAGCAAGUUAAAAUAAGGCUAGUCCGUUAUCAACUUGAAAAAGUGGCACCGAGUCGGUGCU